Long non-coding RNA from Anas platyrhynchos (mallard), 517 nucleotides. RefSeq lists it as uncharacterized. The record is from RefSeq and is a predicted model, not a curated record. NCBI's taxonomy places the organism in Eukaryota, Metazoa, Chordata, Aves, Anseriformes, Anatidae.
GGCAAGCUGGCAGCACCUUGGGGGAUCGGCUCCGUCCCCAGCCACCACCUGAAGAGCCGGGCUCGGCAAGAUCCCAUCGUGCUGUUUCGCUAAGAUGGAAGGGAACUAAUCUCAGUGCUGGCCGAAUGCCAGCUUGGGAUCAUCCGCUUCACCUCAAGUACCGCUCCGACCCGGCGGUGUUUGGUCAUGUCCCACAGCUGUGCCUGCACGCAGCUGCCACGCUCCACCUCAGCUGUGCUCGUGCUCCGGCAGCAAGCCGCUGGGUGCCCAGUGUUACUGAUUUCCAUGACAUGCUUAUCAAAUUUGUGAAUGGUUUGUAAAACCUGCUGCUACCAACUGAAGAAGAAGCGUCAUAUAAGUGGAAUUACAUAAUGCUCUUUCACGGCUAUUUUAAUGCAGCUUCAUGUACCUAAUUUCACAUAAAGUAGAAAUAGCUUCUACCAAAAAUACAUGCGUAUUUUUAACUUCAUGUAGUCAAGUAGAUUUUAGAGCAACUAUAUAAAGUAAUGAAAAUAGA